This is a long non-coding RNA of Podarcis raffonei (Aeolian wall lizard), 570 nucleotides long. RefSeq lists it as uncharacterized. The record is from RefSeq and is a predicted model, not a curated record. The transcript has 2 exons. NCBI's taxonomy places the organism in Eukaryota, Metazoa, Chordata, Lepidosauria, Squamata, Lacertidae.
UCUGAAGGAGCCAAGAGGGGCUGCACUUUCAGGGGCAGGAGAGCAGGAAGAGAAGAGAGGAGAGCUAGGGAGGCCACUCAGAAGGCUGGGCAGUGAAAGGAAAUGGGAUGUCGGGAGAGGAAGAACUUAAUGCAACAACCGGAUGUUGGAAUCACGGAGUUAAAAGAAGGGAGGAGCCAAGCACAAAGUAGGGGCUGGGGCAAAACAAGAGACAAGGCCCAGAAUCAGGAACAAAGGGGUGUGUUAUUGGUAGGAAGGAAGCCCAAGGGGACAAACAACUGCUAGAUCUAGACCCCCCAGCAAAGUGAGUUCUGUCCACUGUGAAUUCUACAGUCGCCACAGCAACGUGACCUGGCAACCCUAAAGGGGUAACAAGAGCCGAACAGCAACGUGUGUGUAAGGGGCGGGGGAUGAAUCUCACACGACAAAUUGAACUAACCCGCCAAAUAUUGGGCUCCAUGCUCUUAAAGGGCUCCAGGGCUUCCUCUUCAUCCCUGCUUUUCAACUUGGGCAUAGCCGACACGGUUUUCUCUUUAUCCCCUGAAGAAGUGUCAGAAGUUUCAGUAUUUA